UACGGAAGAGAGGAAGCAAUGGGGCUAUUGGAGAAGACAGGGGUGUACAUGGGGCCUGAGCGAUACACUUUGGAACAUAGACCAAUCGAUGUAUUGCGGGGAGAAGUGUACAACGCAUGUAGACCUUCUUAGAGUAAUGUUAUGAGAACGUUUUUGUAUCUACUACCUAUACAGACGCUUCGUCGAUUACGCCUACUUUAUAAUAUAAUAUAUAGAACAAGAAUAAAGUCUUAGAAAAAUCCAGUUUGUUCACCGCGGUGUAGCGCGGGUGUUGGCCUAGUUACAUACUAAAAUCAGAGUAGUCCAGUUGUUAAGCGAUGAUGAUUAAUAUGGAAACAUGUGUUCGAUUUUACAUUGAUGCGGGUUUUAUUUCCGUUACAAAAAAAACAUUCUAAAACUACAUGUCAGUUGAUAUAGAACAAAAUUUACAAAAGAACUGGAUCAGAGACAAGAUGACUGAAUAAAGAGAAGAUCAACUUCAUUAUCUGAAUCUGAUCCAGAGAUGGAUAAUCCCCUUUAUGUUCUAAUCUUUGGACAAUAAAAGUAAUAUUUAAAUGGUAAGUUAACAAAAAAAUGUUUUUGUGGGUGGAUUACAUGUCAGUUGUUAUAGAACAAAAUUUACAAAAGAACGGGCUCAUAGACAAGUAACUGAAUAAAGAGAAUAUCAACUUCAUUAUCUUAAUCUGAUCUAGAGAUGGAUAAUCGAUCCCUUAAAAGUUUUUUAUUUCCAAACAACCAAAAUAAAAAUAACCUAAAAUAGUAUAAUAAAAAAGACAACUCUAGUGGACCAAAAAAUGCUCUCUUCUCUCAGAUUUUUUAAUUUUUCUGUUCUAAUCUUUGGACAAUAAAAGUAAUAUUAAAAAUGCUAAUUUAACAACAAAAUGUGUUUGUGGGUGGAUUAGAUGGAAAAUAUAAUUAUUUUGUGUAAUCUUUUUUUUUUGUGUAAUCAUUACUGCAAAAAUACUAGAAUAGUGCAAAAGGAAAGGAAGGAGUUGAGAAGAGGGAGGGAGUUAAAGGUACUUUUCGGGCAGAGAGUAAACAAAAGCGGGGACGUUACUUAUUACGUGUUGAAGCUUCAGUAAAUCUCCAACAACGCGAUCCUCUCUUCUCUUCUCCUCAACAAGAAGAAGAAGCGAUUCAAAUGGACAGCAACAAUGGUACGAUUCAAUUCGCUCUUCUUUACUUUACCCCCCAAUCUCGACUUCCUUCGUCUGCGAUUAGAUAAAUUGUUUGAGAAACGAAUUUGGGAAGUCAAUUUUACACAAGUUUCCUUCUAAUUAACUCUUAUCUAAGAAGAAGAUUAAAUAAGUGGAAAUUAGGUUGAAAUUAGCUUUUACAGAUCAAUAAAAUUGUGUAGGGACUCAAGAGAUGAGUGUGCCUGUAGAAGGGGUUGCUGGUGGAGGCACAGCUUACGGGUUUAACGACGGCGGUCUUAAUACACAACCUCUUAAACAAUCUACGGACCCCACAGAGGUUCCUACUUCUGACUUGGUUCACGUCUGGUGUAUCCCCAAUACUCUUAACGUCGGUUCCCAAGAAACGCCUCGACCUCUAGAAACUGUAUAACCCUUCUUCUUUUCAGCUAUUUCUAGUUCACCUUUCGUGUGAAAUGACAUUUGUGAUUUGUGUUUCUACAGAUAAAUCUUUUGGCAGCUAGAAACGAGAGAGAAAGUUUUCAAAUUGCCAUGCGUCCCAAAGUUUCUUGGGCUGGUUCUACCCCUUCUGGGAGUGUUCAGGUUCAGUGCAGUGACUUAUGCUCUUCAGCUGGGGACAGGUGCGUGAGCCUUUGCUACCUUCCCUUUUCUCCGAACAGCGGCUUAAGAAACCGAACGUUUCAAUGGAUAUUUUGAGAUGGAUUCUUCACUUUGCUGUCUAUAUGAUUGUUUUCUUCCUUUCAAUGACAGAUUGGUUGUUGGCCAGUCCCUAAAGUUGCGGCGAGUGGUGCCUGUCUUAGGUGUUCCUGACGCUCUGGUGCCUCUUGAUUUGCCUCUUACUCAACUUAGCUUACUUCCAGGGUACUACCCACUCGCUAAUCUUAUUUCUUACUUAAUUCGUUAAAGACUGAUAUAAUCUCGGAUGUUCCAUAUUGUAGAGAAACAAGUGUGAUUUGGGUCUCAAUAGACGUUCCUAAUGGGCAGCCUCCUGGUCAAUAUGAAGGAGAGAUUACUGUUUCUGCAAUGAAGACGGAUGGAGGGUGAGUCUCCCUUUGUUUUUCUUUUCUUUUAUCUACUUUAGGAGGAAAAUGAUAACUUGUUUCUCAUGGAUUUGACGCGCUUAUGCCCAAAUUUUGUGGUUGGUUACAGCUGUUCUGAUAACUUGGGAAAGCAUGAGAAGGAUCAGCUAUGUGUGGAACUCAAGAACUGUCUGGAUAUUAUGGAACCGAUAGAAGGAAAACCCAUGGACGAAGUGGUAAUUUUCAGUUUGCUUCUGUUUUUGUUGAGCUCAUCCCCUUGGAUAAAUAUUUUACUUGUCAGUAAUCUGCAGCUUGUCUUUUAGGUAGAAAGAAUAAAAUGUGCAAGUUCGUCAUUAAGAAGAAUUCUAUUCUCUCCAUCAUUCGCGGAGUUCAUUUCUACAAAUGGAUCCUCUGAUAUGAUGGAAGAAGAUGUUGUGUCAAACCUUGCAGUGCGUAUUAAGCUAAGAUUGACAGUUUGGGAAUUUAUUAUUCCAGUGACUCCAUCACUCCCCGCUGUCAUCGGCGUCUCUGAUACUGUAAUCGAGGAUCGUUUUGGUGUUGAACAUGGAAGUGAAAAGUGGUACGAGAAACUGGAUCUUCAUUUCAAGUGGCUUCUUCAGUAUCGGAUCAGUCCAUACUUCUGCAAAUGGGGUGAAAAUAUGCGUGUCUUGACAUACACCUCACCAUGGCCUGGUAUUGCAAUUGUUAUGCACCAUCUAAUUAUUUUGCUUCAGAUUCUAAUAAGUUCACCAUUUGCAUUCCACUUUUUUUGGUUUCGCAGCCGAUCAUCCCAAGUCUGAUGAAUAUUUCUCUGAUCCAAGGCUUGCGGCUUAUGCAGUACCUUAUAGACAAGUUAUAGCAGGGUAUGCAUGUGCUGUCCCAGUCAAACUUCUUAUAAGUGUUGUAGGUACCCAAACUAUAACUUUUGUUGAUGUGCAAGCAGGGAUGAUUCAAGGGAAAUUUACCUGCGGAAAGAAGUUGAGAUAUUGAGGAGUAAACCCCACUGGAAUAAAGCUUACUUUUACUUGUGGGAUGAGGUAUCUUAGUUCCCACUGAUUUAUCAAUAGGCCGAUGGUGGUGUCUCUUAGCAUUUGUGUAUCUCAUGUUCCACCACAGGUGUAAUUGAUGUGUUCUUUUAGUUGAGGUUUACUUAUUGACAGCUUUCUUAUUACCAUUCCAAAAUUUGGCAGCCACUGAAUAUGGAUCACUUUCAUAACGUUCGCAAGAUGGCUAGUGAAAUUUACGCCUAUGCCCCGGAUGCCCGGGUUUUGACUACUUACUACUGUGGUAUGAUUCCCUUUUUGUUUCUUGAUUUCUCGAUUUUACAUACGUUUUCCCACAUAAUGUGUUUGUUCAACCCAUAAUGUUAGGUCAUUGUGUAGAGCUAAAUAUUAUUUACGCACUCGUCAUGUUGGUCCACUGGUCUCAUUACAGCACUUACGGUUAUUUUACAAUGGUUCAGCUACUCAGAAAUUGUAUUUAUCUAUCUGUAGGUCCGGGUGAUGCGCCUCUUGCACCAACGCCCUUUGAAUCUUUUGUCAAAGUUCCAAAUCUGCUUCGACCCCAUACUCAGAUAUACUGCACAAGGUAAUUGCGCAUGCACCAUUCUCUUAGGUGGCAGUGGUUUGAUCAUUCAGACAAAUUGCCUUCUCUUACAUGGGUUUGUGGCUUAAUUAGUUGUCAAGAUCUUAACCUCACCAAUCUAUCAUUUAAUCAAAAAGUAACCUCUUUUUUUUUGAGCAAAUACAUUUUUGAUCUUAAAAUUGCCAACCGUAUCACUCCGAUUACCUAUUUGGAUAGACAUGCAUGUGAGUUUAUUAUAUUCAUCUAUGAGUUAGGAUUUCAGAUGCGUUUUCAGGAAUAUUUAGAGAAAUCUGUUUACUACUAGUUAGUCCAUCGUUGCCUUAAUCCCGCAACACAGUCUUAAAAUAUGGUUUAAUAUUCAGUGAAUGGGUGCUUGGUAACCGGGAAGAUUUGGUGAAAGAUAUUGUGGAGGGAUUGCAGUUAGAGAAUCGUGAGGUAAGCUCUCUCUGAUCCUUUGUCUACACUAGUCUAUGUUACUCAUUUGUCUAAUCAAUAUUGCGUAACUGAAUAGAAAUCUAAUAACCAUAAUCAUCAUCAUUUUAAGUAUAGAUUUCGGUCAGUUUUUAACCAUACGCAAAACAGUUAAUUAAUUAUUAUCAUAAGCUCCCAAAAGGUGUACACAUGCAUAUGCAUACAUUCAGGCAUUAUCAUAAUCAACUAAGCCAUCUUAAUGCUACUCUUCUUGUGUGGUUUAUAUAUGAAUGUAUUUGCAAUGGGAACCAUAAAGAGGAAUUCUCAUGAUGGGUGCAGGAAUGGUGGACAUACAUAUGCCUUGGACCUACAGAUCCUCACCCAAAUUGGCACUUAGGGAUGCGUGGGACGCAGCACCGUGCAGUGAUGUGGCGUGUGUGGAAAGAAGGUGGAACGGGGUUCUUGUACUGGGGUGCAAACUGCUAUGAGAAGGCAACCGUUCCAAGCGCUGAGGUUCGUCUGACCUAUGGUACCUUUUGUAAAUGUUUCUUGAUUGAUUGCUUCAGGAAGUUAUAUGAAACAACCAAACAUAUUUAUAGGUAAGGUUUAGGCGCGGCCUUCCUCCUGGUGAUGGUGUUCUUUACUACCCGGGUGAAGUUUUCUCAUCAUCCUCAGAGCCAGUUGCUUCACUUAGGCUUGAGCGUCUUCUUAGUGGCUUACAGGUAUGGCUGCUUUAAGCUUUUAGUUACCAACCAGAAAGAAAGAAAGAAGAAUUGUGUUCAAAUUGAUGUAAUGGAACAGGAUUAUGAGUACUUGAAGCUGUACGAGUCAAAAUACGGAAGAGAGGAAGCAAUGGGGCUAUUGGAGAAGACAGGGGUGUACAUGGGGCCUGAGCGAUACACUUUGGAACAUAGACCAAUCGAUGUAUUGCGGGGAGAAGUGUACAACGCAUGUAGACCUUCUUAGAGUAAUGUUAUGAGAACGUUUUUGUAUCUACUACCUAUACAGACGCUUCGUCGAUUACGCCUACUUUAUAAUAUAAUAUAUAGAACAAGAAUAAAGUCUUAGAAAAAUCCAG
This 5246-nucleotide long non-coding RNA is filed under the name Brassica napus (rape). RNAcentral's name for it is "long non-coding RNA (BNAP_LNC006592)". Lineage: Eukaryota; Viridiplantae; Streptophyta; Magnoliopsida; Brassicales; Brassicaceae. The record is from RNAcentral.